GCUCCACCUGGGCAGUGCAAGUUAUGCUGCAACAGAGGUCAUGGUCCAGCCUGGUGUCCACAGAUGCUGUGUGUGUGAUCGUUGUUUGGACUGCCAGUUGUAUCUGAGUGCCCAGGAGUGGGACCAGGCACAGUGGAAGCCAGAAGAGAGAUUUCUGUAGGAGAUCAGGUGCGAAAUCAUUCUCCCAGCUGGAUUCCCUCAGAUUUGUAACAGUGUCCUUGUCGCUGAGCCACAGCUGUGGCAGCUCCGGUGAUCAUCCAGAGUCUGGUUCACCAGCAGCACCACCCCUCACAAAGCUGAGGGGCACCCAGCCGCUUCCACAAAGCCUUCUCUAGUCUGGCAAGGAAGGUAUUGCAGAGCCUUUGAGUAAUCCCACAAAUUCAUGCUCUCCCUCACCUCCCCCCCAAGCCGCCUUCUCACAUUGUGAAGAUUAACAGCAUGUUGCAGCAUCGCUGUGCUGCGAUGGGGAUGGUGGUGCUGGGUUUAUUUUCUCAGGAGAAGCAGAUAAAGGUGGCACCAGCUACUACCCAACACCAAAUCUAAAUUAGUAAAUUUAAAAUUCUUUUAAAUCUGACAGAUGUGACAGGGUCUGUUUUGGAUUUUGAUCCAAAGCUUAGCAAAGCCUGUGACCUCUGUAUCAGCAUGACAAUGAGCAAUUGUGGCUGUGCUGCCCCAGCAUCCAUCAAAUGCAAUGAUUAAGUGGCUUGACUGGCAUGGUGGAGAUAAAAGUCAUUGUAAUAAACAUUGUCACAAGCUCUAUGUCUCCCA
Molecule: long non-coding RNA, 768 nt
Filed under: Calidris pugnax (ruff)
Lineage: Eukaryota; Metazoa; Chordata; Aves; Charadriiformes; Scolopacidae
Description: lncRNA (ENSCPUG00000003259.1)
Source: RNAcentral